AGGUAAACUGAAUAGAACAUCAGACAGCUCAUUAUAGAGACAAGUAUGCUCCAUUCCCAAAGUUGGAUGACAGAACAAGUCAUGGUGAGUACUGUAAUUUUAGUGCUACCAUACAUCUUCAAGCUGUCUGGAGGUAAAAUGCUUACUAAGCAUUGCAUUUGUGCUGUCAGAAUACUUUAUGGGAUGGUAAUUAAAUAAAGGCAGCACUGUGGAGUUAAGCCAAUAUCUGAUGAAUUCUAGAAAUCUCUUCUAGAAAGGUCUUACUUUGAAUCUUAAGUUUUAGAAGAAGUACGUUUCACAUUUAUUGACUAAUCUUUCAUUAAAAGCACACUUGUGUAGGGUAUUCGCUGAAAACAUUCAUUUAUGUUUUCUUGUGAUAGGUGAAUGCCCAGUUCACCUAGCAGAGAACUCAAUUGUCAGCAUGCUGCCCUUUGAAAUGUUAGUUUCCCCUCUCUCAACUUGUAUGAUCAGUCACUACUUUUAAAUUAUGACUUGGGGUGCCUGGGUGGCUCAGUUGGUUGGGUGUCUGAUUUUGGCUCAAGUCAUGAUCUCAUGGUUUGUGAGUUCGAGCCCCAUGUUUGGGCUCAGUGCUGACGGCUGAGAGCCUGGAGCCUGCUUCAGAUUCUGUCUCCCUUUCUCUCUGCCCUUCCCCUGCUCACAAUCUGUCUCUCUUUCUCUCUCUCAAAAAUAAAUAAACAUUUAAAAAUUUAAAAAAAACUACAAAAAGCUAAAUACAAAGACUGAAAAUGGAGGCAGUUAUCCACUGUUUUCCAAAAGUUUGGUUAUGCCGCUUUGCUUUCAUGAAAAAUCUACAUUAAUACCUGUUUUCACGAAGUGAAAGAAAUCCAAAGAGGAUUUUUGCUUGGUCAGUAAAAGGCAAAGAGGGAAAUAGUGUUCGGUGUUUGUUUGGCAGUGAGCCCUCAUGCAGGCAGUGCUCAUCCCAAGCAGCAAGAGUGGCCCCGCCACACCUCUUCCCUGGGAACUACAUUUCAGCAUCUCAGCAUCAAGCCACCAUAGCUUUGAAUUGUGUCUGUGUACAUCUGUGCUUUAUCUUGAUUCAUUUUGUGCAUCUGUUAGCAAGAUUUGUCCUAAGGUAUCAGAAAAGCCAAAGGGAGGCUAUUUUGGGGGGGGGGUCUGGGAAUGCUCAAAUUUUUUUCUGUAUAAAUUAAUGGUAAUUGCUUCUUCUGAUUAUGCCAUUUCAGCUUAGGAAAGUUUUCGUAAGAACACUGUACUUUUGGAUAGCGGGGUAAAACUGUACUGGAAAGAAGUAUAUUUAUUUCAUUCUUGUCAUUUUUCACUUUUCCUCUGGAAUUUAGUGCCCUAGUUUAAGAUUGAAUUGUACAUAUACCUCAGUAGGGAAUGGAUACGUUUUUCCUUUAUACUUAUUUAUAGAUGUUCAUUUUAAUAGUUACACACUGUAUGAUUGGUAAAAGCAGGCUAUAGACCAGCACUGGGAUCCACAACGGUGGAGCAAAAGCCAAAGGCCAAAUUCUGCCUGCACCUGUUUUUGUAAAUAAAAUUUUGCUUGAAUUCAGGCCAUUUGUUUAUGUAUUGUCUAUAGCUCUUUUCUUGCUACUAUGGCCAAGUUGAAUAGCUGUGGCAGAGACCAGAAAGACCCACAAAGUCUAAAUUAUUUACAAUCUGGUCCUCCACAGAAAAAAUUUAUUGACCCUUGGACUAGCACAUGGAUUUGAAAAUUUUUAAAGGAGUACAUUUUUUGUUUGUGUGUUUUUGUAAUAUGCAGUCAUGAGAAAAAAAUAAAAUGAUUUAUUAUCUCAGAUGAUUUUUAUUUUCUUUCACAGUGAAGAAUAUUUUGCAUUAUUGCUUUAAAUUUUUGAAAGUCUUAGCAAUUUCCUAUAGAAGGAGCUCCUGCUUGGAUGCAAAGCUGUGUACACUGUUAGGUGGAUAGUUAGCAAGCUGGUGUCUCUUCAAAGAUAAAAUAUUUUCCAAACCAUGCUGUGAGAUUGGCAUAGAAGGAAAACUGGGAAUAGGGUUCAGGUGAAUCAGUGAAAUGGCUUCUAACCAUGCAGCUAUUAUAUGCCUGAAAACUGCACGAAUUGAGGUUAGUCUGCAGGCCUUACCAGCUUGUUCCUGGCGAGGCUCCCAAACUCCUCUAACUAUAUCAUGACUGUGACUUCAUUCUCUAAAGCAGACUAUUCCCCCUGGCUGUCUCAAAGACAGUCCCUGGGCCAAUUUUUUUUUAACCUGUCACAUUUACUUUCUUUAAAAAGAAAAGUAAAAGAAACUUGUUAGGAAAUAAAAAGAGUAUAUAAGCUAAGUUAUUUUUUAUUAUUUCAAUUCUUCAUUUUUAUAUAGUUGUAUGUGUAUACACGUGCACAAUUAAAUAAUGCUGAUAGGAUCAUGAGGUAAUGUAGUACUUUCCAAAAUGUAGCUUUGGUAUAGAACAUCUAGCAGAAGGAUAAUAGAUAAUGAUGCAAUGGUUAACAUUACUAUUUUGCAAAAAUUAAAAAGAAAUAAUCAUUCAGAGCCAGUUUGGCAUUUUCCUAUAUGACAUCCUAAUAGGACUUUGAAUUUCAGCUGUCCAUUUCUGUGAAUUUGAAUGCAACAGAGAAGAUGUAGCUUUCACAUAAUUUUCUUCAGUUUAAAAAAUCAUAACCAUUGCAAUGGGAUGCCUUAAGCCUUGGGUCACUUAAAUCAUUUCUGAAGACAGCACGUGCUCUUCAGGGACAUGCAAAAUGAGGAAGGCACUUGUUGGUCACUGUGUCUGUGUCACCUGUAUAGACUUGGUACAGGUCAGUGUGUUUAUGAGUCAGUAAUGAAGAGGAAUAUGAAAUGUUGCAACUUAGCAAAUGUGCUAAAAUGUAAGUAUGAAGAAAAAUGUUUUGAAAGGCUAACCAGUUUAGAAUCACAAAAUAUUUAGAUAUUCUCUCAAUUUAGGAUUGAGAAAAUAGCUGCAUGAGAUAUAAAAAUGAAGAUAUAACUAUUUACAUGGAAAUAUAAUUGUCUAAAAAAAGUCCUCCCUUCAUUUUGAGUUAAACAAAACAAGGGGAUUUUCAGAUCCAAUGGAUUAUAAUGCUAAUUUACAUCAAAUCUUGGAAGGAAGUAACCUAUUUUAUUCUUAUUUGCUGUUGUUUCAAGAUAUAGUAUUCCUACAGUUCUGAAUUACAAUAAUAUGUAGUAAAAUUUUGAGAAAAUAGAUCAGAGGUAAAAAUCUGUGACAUUGGCACAAAUAUAGCCUGCUGACAUUCUAUUGAAUAGAAUUCGUUUUGUGUCUGCGUUUUUCUUUUUGUUUUUUGUUUUAAAAACUAGAAAUUUUGCUAAAAAAUUUAACUCCAAAACCUCAUUGAAAAUCUGGGACAUUUUGAUAUUUAUUUUGUCUUAAAGAGUUUUUUAAACAUAAAUGUUGUGCAAGCACUUGGUAAAAAAUCAAAUGGUACAGAGAGUCAUAAGGAAAUUUUCUUGAUCUCUCAUUUUUACAUUUUCUGAAGUAUUCUUACAUAAAUAUUCAUGCUUACAUGUAUAUAUGAGUGAAAUAAACAAUGAGAUCACAACAAACACUUUUCUAUGCAUAAGUACUUUUAAUUCCUCAUUUUUUAUAACUUGUUUUAACAAUUUUUAUUACUUUAUUGCUUUGUAUUUUCUUUUAUUCUAUUUUUACUGUCAUUGCUUUGGUAUUUUUAAAUUAAAUUCUCACAUUUACUAGAACUUCCUCUUCUCCUCUACUUAAAUGUUUUAUUUCAUAAGUUUCAAAUGCUAUCCCUUUGAUGGUUGAUAGGAUUUGUGGUCAUUGCAGUGGUAGAGAGGAGGGCUUCACAGUGCAAGCAGGGCAGGCAGGGUCCCCAGGCACUUCUGCAAACACCAUGCUACAUCCUUCUUGAAUGAUCUAUCAGUCCUUUAAGUGGCCAUCCAAAUGUUUCUGAAUGUUAUUUUUCUGAACUCACAGCUAACAGCCAUUCCUGGAGAAAUAAUAAUCCUCUUCUUGACAAAAGUAUGGAAAUGUUUAGCUAGAUAAGUGCAUUUGACCCUCUGAUCAACGCAAGAGCCAAAGUGGAGUGCAGAAUCGAGAAUUCAGGUCUUCUGACCUUUAUUCUGAUAUCUUUCCCAAUUCUUUGUAUUGAGUUUGAGGGAUCUGGGGGGAUGAUCAAGGAAAUAGAUAUGACCAUGAGGUGGCAGUAGCACACAAGGAGUUUUAUUUGGACAGAGCUUUGGCAGGUUUGCAUUUGGGGAAAGUCCCUCACAGCAGGAGCCCUUCCAGAGGUAAAGGGUGAAGGCUACUACCCAAAAGAGGCAGAGGGCACAAGGAAGUCUGGGGGAAAGAGGAUCAGAGAGAGUGUUAUGAAUCUAGAUGAUUUUGCUCAGCAGCAUAAUGGAGAGUCUCUGGGUCAGAGAGCUCUGAAGGGCAGCAGAAGCUUGGAGUCUUUUAUAGCCACAGAGUUUAUCUGAUCUAUGGUUAGCAGAUAUUGGGUGCAGUUUUGUGCAUUGUGCAAUGCAGGAAGGCCGUAAAUGGCUAAAAUUCUGCUCAUAUGGGCUUUAUUUAAAACAACUGGAUAUGUAAAAAUUUGGGGUUUUUUGGUGCCCAUGGGGUUUGGAGCUAGUAGGUCCCAGCUUGCUGUAAAGAAGUAAACAACAUAGGGCCAAUGUACAGAAGCCAUCUUUGGCUCACUGAUAUAACAGCUAGUCUGUACUAGUUUUGUUUGUGUAUGUGUAUCUUGUCAUUAUGACAUACUCCCAAUAUACAUAAAAAUAUACAUACCAGUAUAAUGUAUAAUAUGUAUACACCAGCUGUAUUUGUUAACCUUAUUUUGUCAUAAUGGCUCCAGGUUUUUUGAAGGAAUAACUUCACUAGAGUUGCACUCUAUUUCCUUUGAAGGAAUUCAACUUCACUAGAGUUGAAUUCCUCUGUGUGCCCCUCCUAAAACUAUUUCCCUCCUCACCUUCUUCAGAAGAGUCUUCUUUGUAUGUACACUUAGAUGCAUAUACUUUAUAUGUAUUAUUUUUAAAUAAUUUAUAAACUUAUUUUUGGAUGACUUAAACUUUAUAUAAAUGAUAACAUAAUGUACAGAGCCUUUUGCCCUCUCCAUACGAUUUUUGAGAAUGAUCCAAAUGGCUCCAAUUGACACUUAUAGGUCAUUUUAUUUUGUUUUAUUUUGUUUUUACUGCAAAAUACUAUUUCAUCGUGUGACUUUAAUAUGAUUUUAAAACAAUUUCAUGUUCACGUACAUUCAAGUUGUUUCAUUUUUCCCUGUUUGCAAAUGAUGCCGAAGAGAACAUUUCUGGACAUAACCUUCUUAUGUACAUACUGCUACUUGGCUAUUCCAUUUUGAUAAUCUGUUAGUAAAUUGACAGAUAAUUACCAAAUACCCUAUGUGCACAGGUGUGGGACUUUCUCAAAAUUAGAUAAAAUUCCUGUUCUUAAUAAACUUAUAAUCAUAGUUUAACCUUGUAUAUAUUUAUAAAUCAGAAUAACUCUAAUAUAUGAUAGCUUAAUUUCAUUUAUCAUUUUACUAAAUUUAAAUUUAUUUCUAAAACAGAGGUGUUGUCAAUGUCAUUGCUUAAUUAUUUCCCUCAAAAUUUGGUUUUGGUAAUCUUCCAAAGUGCACAGGCAGGUAUGAAUGACUGAGUUACAGCUUUAUCUCCAGGAGAAUAUUGUGUUAAAGAGCCAUCCUGAAUUUCUAUCACUGUCACUUGCUUGGUUAAUGAUUUAUUAAAUACAUCAGAGCAAUUACAAAACUGAGAUUAAAAAAAAGUGUUAUUUACUAUAGUCCAAGUAAUUUAUUAAAUUUUUUUAUGUUUAUCUAUUUUUGAGAGAGAGACAGAGCAUGAGCAGGAGAGGGGCAGAGAGAGAGGGAGACACAGAAUCCGAAGCAGGCUCCAGGAUCUGAGCUCUCAGCACAGAGCCCAAUGCGGGGCUCAAACCCAUGAGAUCAUGACCUGAGCCAAAGUCAGAUGCUCAACUGACUGAGCCACCCAGGCACUCCUUAAGUAAUUUAAAUCACUCUUUAAGAGAUGUAUUUUGGGAAAAGUCAGACGGGCAGGCACAUGACAUGAUAAGGAUAAAGAUCAGUGUAAGCUGAUAACUUCUAAUGGGAAAUAUAUACAGAGCUUUUGAAUUGCAUUUCAAAUCACUCAUUUUUCCAGCAUUUAUUGUAUGCAACAAAUGCAUAAGCGGUUAGCUGAAACAGGUAGCUCAAAAAUAUUUUAACAUUUUUUAUCUAAACAAAUGUCAGAAUUUUUUUGAAAAUGAAAAAUGCUAAAUAUAAUAAAAGUGUAUAUUUAUGCUCUCGGCAGCCAAAUGUGCUUUUUAAUGGAAUUUAAAUAAAUGGAAUUUUUAUGACAAAAAAAGCAACAGUAAAAGCAGUGAUUAUGUUUUUCAUAGUUCAUUUGCCGUCUUUGCCCUGCAGACCUUGUGUGGAAGAAAAUGAGAUCCCGAGUGAAGUCUACAAUGUCAUUGACUCUGAAGAAGGACUCAGAGACCCAUUGGUGUUUAAUGACCCUUACUGGCCUAUGCAAUGGGAACUGGUAUGAUCUUCAGAAAUAGAUGGUUCUUUGGCAAUGUUAAGAAAUAUUAUUUUUGUCAUAUUUUAAUGCAGUAGACAGACACUUUUAUGCACUGCCUGCUUUUAUCUAUUGGUUUUGCAGAGAGAGACUUAGCAAACUUUUGAUGAAAUAUUACUGCCAGCUUAUUAAUGAGUACUAAUCCUUUUAAUUUGAUUACAUCCUUAGGGUUUGAUUUGUUCUAUAAAAGAUACCAGUUUAAAAAAAAAAAACUAAGACAUUUAAAUUUGCUGUAUGUAAACAGACUCAUUACACAGAAAUGUUGUUGCC
Molecule: long non-coding RNA, 6786 nt
Filed under: Lynx pardinus (Iberian lynx)
Lineage: Eukaryota; Metazoa; Chordata; Mammalia; Carnivora; Felidae
Source: RNAcentral